CCCCGUACGCUGUGCGGGGCCCCUAUUCUGCUUUGUACCAGGGGGUCCUUCGUG
Molecule: regulatory RNA element, 54 nt
Organism: Enterobacter cloacae
Lineage: Bacteria; Pseudomonadati; Pseudomonadota; Gammaproteobacteria; Enterobacterales; Enterobacteriaceae
Rfam family: ClpQY promoter
Source: Rfam